CCUAAGGUAGCGAAAUUCCUUGUCAGGUAAGUUCUGACCCGCACGAAAGGCGUAACGAUUUGGGCGCUGUCUCAGCUGUAGACUCGGUGAAGUCUUAGUACCUGUGAAGAUGCAGGUUACCCGCGACUAGACGGAAAGACCCCAUGGAGCUUCACUGCAGGUUGAUAUUGGGAUUUGAUGCAGCAUGUACAGGAUAGGUAGGAGGCAAAGAGAUGGAUACGCCAGUAUUCAAGGAGCCGCUGUUGGGAUACUACCCCUGUUGUAUUGGAUUUCUAACCGGACGACGUAGAGCCGUUGACGGGACAGUGUCAGUCGGGCAGUUUGACUGGGGCGGUCGCCUCCCAAAGAGUAACGGAGGCGCCCAAAGAUACCCUCAGCUUGGAUGGAAACCAAGCGCAGAGUGCAAAGGCAAAAGGGUGUUUGACUGCGAGACCUACAAGUCGAGCAGGGACGAAAGUCGGGCUUAGUGAUCCGGCGGUGCUGAAUGGAAAGGCCGUCGCUCAACGGAUAAAAGCUACCCUGGGGAUAACAGGCUGAUCUCCCCCAAGAGUUCACAUCGACGGGGAGGUUUGGCACCUCGAUGUCGGCUCAUCGCAUCCUGGAGCUGAAGUCGGUUCCAAGGGUUGGGCUGUUCGCCCAUUAAAGCGGUACGCGAGCUGGGUUCAGAACGUCGUGAGACAGUUCGGUCCCUAUCUGUCGUGGGCGCAGGAAAUUUGAGAAGAGCUGUCCUCAGUACGAGAGGACCGGGAUGGACGCAUCAAUGGUGGACCAGUUGUCACGCCAGUGGCAUAGCUGGGUAGCUAAAUGCGGAAGGGAUAAACGCUGAAGGCAUCUAAGUGUGAAACCCACUUCAAGAUGAGAUUUCCCAUUGCGCAAGCAAGUAAGACCCCUUAAAGACGAUAAGGUAGAUAGGUCAGGAGUGUAAGCAUGGUGACAUGUUAAGCGGACUGAUACUAAUAGGUCGAGGGCUUGACCGA
This 977-nucleotide ribosomal RNA is filed under the name human gut metagenome. RNAcentral's name for it is "bacterial LSU rRNA". It matches the Rfam family "Bacterial large subunit ribosomal RNA", at positions 1950 to 2925 of the family's 2925-position model. The record is from RNAcentral.